This 250-nucleotide long non-coding RNA is filed under the name Salvia miltiorrhiza (redroot sage). RNAcentral's name for it is "long non-coding RNA (SMIL_LNC010234)". The record is from RNAcentral. Lineage: Eukaryota; Viridiplantae; Streptophyta; Magnoliopsida; Lamiales; Lamiaceae.
AACGUUGGGGGGAUUUCAUGGAUUCUGAUCUUCAUCCUAAGGAUGAUGCUUUGGACUUUUGACACGGUGUUUCCCUCUGGAUCAUCGCUGAUAAGGUUUUUCUUAAUCCGUUAGUUUGCGCUUUGUGCUUUCAACAGUUUAUCUUUAUUUUUUCUUUGUUUUUUCUUGUUUUUGUUUUCGAUUUUGUUUCUCAAUAAAAUUUUUAAUUCAGCAUAGUGAGUAUUUUAUUUUUUUUAUUUUUGGGAACGGG